This 510-nucleotide ribosomal RNA is filed under the name uncultured bacterium. RNAcentral's name for it is "partial 16S ribosomal RNA". It matches the Rfam family "Bacterial small subunit ribosomal RNA", at positions 28 to 507 of the family's 1533-position model. The record is from RNAcentral.
GACGAACGCUGGCGGCGUGCUUAACACAUGCAAGUCGAACGAAGAGCGAUGGAAGCUUGCUUCUAUCACUCUUAGUGGCGAACGGGUGAGUAACGCGUAAUCAACCUGCCCUUCAGAGGGGGACAACAGUUGGAAACGACUGCUAAUACCGCAUACGAUCUAAUCUCGGCAUCGAGGAUAGAUGAAAGGUGGCCUCUACAUGUAAGCUAUCACUGAAGGAGGGGAUUGCGUCUGAUUAGCUAGUUGGAGGGGUAACGGCCCACCAAGGCGACGAUCAGUAGCCGGUCUGAGAGGAUGAACGGCCACAUUGGGACUGAGACACGGCCCAGACUCCUACGGGAGGCAGCAGUGGGGAAUCUUCCGCAAUGGACGAAAGUCUGACGGAGCAACGCCGCGUGAGUGAUGACGGCCUUCGGGUUGUAAAGCUCUGUUAAUCGGGACGAAAGGCCUUCUUGCGAAUAGUGAGAAGGAUUGACGGUACCGGAAUAGAAAGCCACGGCUAACUACGUG